RNAcentral lists this non-coding RNA (703 nucleotides) under Ascaridia columbae. The record is from RNAcentral. Lineage: Eukaryota; Metazoa; Nematoda; Chromadorea; Rhabditida; Ascaridiidae.
UUGUUAGUUUGGGCUAUAAGGAUUUAAGAUUUAAUUAUGGUCUGAGUUUGGUUAAAAUGAUGUUAUCUAAUUUUGAUUCAUUGAGUGGGCAAUGAUUGUUAACCCCGGCAAGAUGGCACUUGUAUAUGACUUGUUCCAGAAUAAUCGGCUAGACAAGUUAAGUUGGGACUCUAAUUGUGUUUAAAUUGAGCUGUGAAUUCUGACUAAAUUUAAAACUCUAGGGUGAAAUUGGGAAUUAUUAUAAGAUUUAGUUUAAUUUGUGAGAUUUUGUUAAUGAACCAGAUUAGUACCUGGGUAAAUGAGAUUAAUUAAUGCAGGAGUAAAGUAAUGUUUAAACUGAAAUAAUAUUGGCAGGUUUUUAAAUUAUCUUUGAAGGUUGGACUGUGAUUGAGAGCCCUCAUUUGCGGCUUUAAUUUUGAUCUUAUGUAUGAUCGUUUUUCUUAUUCUUAGGGAUUAUGAGGUUAAAAUGUUUAUUGUAAAAAUAGAUAUUUAUUUAGUAUAUAUUAGAGUUUGCUCUGACCUACAAUAUUUAAUGAUGUGGAUCAGAAAAUUGAGAAGUUUUUGUGAAAAUGUAAAAGACAGUAAGUUAUUUUUAAUGGAUGGCUGAAGAUUUAUUUAGAAACGGUACAAAUCAUCCAUCAAUUGCCCAAAGGGGAGUAAGUUGUAGUAAAGUAGGACUAGGGGAACCUGGCCCUAGUAAAUA